Perca fluviatilis (European perch) is the source of this 540-nucleotide long non-coding RNA. RefSeq lists it as uncharacterized. Lineage: Eukaryota; Metazoa; Chordata; Actinopteri; Perciformes; Percidae. The transcript is spliced from 3 exons. The record is from RefSeq and is a predicted model, not a curated record.
AGAACAUCGAUACUACUGUGCGCUUUUGGUUGUGUUGGUUACCCCGUGGUGUGCAGCUGCCCUCCAGCUCCUCUCCAUCUCCCUCUCCAUCUCCCCCUACUUCUAUCACAUCUCUCUUUACUGGCCCUUCUAUCCACUCUCUCUAUUAAUGGUUCUUUUCACCUCUCUCCAAUAACAUCUACCACUCAUCCCUAAUAUUAUUGGUUCUCUUCACCUCUCUCCUAUAACAUCUACCACUCAUCCCUAAUAUUAUUGGUUCUCUUCACCUCUCUCCUAUCAUUUGAUACCGCUCUAUCUACAUUUGGUUCACUUGUUGCAAGUUACCCUUUGGUUCUGGUUCAAAGAUUAUCACCCAUUUGUUCUGGUUGGAAAGCUCCAGAUUUCUGGUAUCUGGUUUUGGUUCUACAGGUUGUUUGGUACCUGAUCAUUCUGUUUUAUGGUUCUGUGAGUUUCUCUUCUCACACUUUUUCUACCUCUCCUGUCUCUCUCUCUCACACAUUUGAUUUGGCCUUUUCAAUUGGCAAAAAUUCAGUUAUUGUA